GUGCUCUUUCCUCAUACCACCUGGCCAACAACUGCCUCCACCUGCUCUAAACACCACCACCACCAUCAACGCCCGCCACCCUCGACCUCCAGGUCCGAGCCCCCUGCCUUCCCCGCCAGGCCCGCUCCCCUGCAGGGCCUGCUGCCUAUCUGUGCUCUCCACCCUCACCAUCGGCCCUUCUCUCAUGGCCCACCAGGUCCCUGAAGCCCACACAGGAGCCGAAAGAUCACCUCGGAGGGGAUCAACUGAACAAGGUCCGUUCCUGUGGCCUUUGCCACAGCAACACCAGAGCUGGGUAUACACUGGAUUUUGA
Molecule: long non-coding RNA, 313 nt
Filed under: Sus scrofa (pig)
Lineage: Eukaryota; Metazoa; Chordata; Mammalia; Artiodactyla; Suidae
Description: lncRNA (ENSSSCG00050047928.1)
Source: RNAcentral